Molecule: long non-coding RNA, 154 nt
Organism: Hippocampus comes (tiger tail seahorse)
Lineage: Eukaryota; Metazoa; Chordata; Actinopteri; Syngnathiformes; Syngnathidae
Exons: 2
Source: RefSeq, a predicted model, not a curated record
UGUUGACCCAAAAGUGGAACAUCUUGUCCUGAGAGCCAAGAGGAGGAAGGACAUCAGCACGAAGAUUCAAAGAGAGCCCAAAACCCUUUAGACAUGAAAAAUUAACUCUCACAUGAUCGUCAUGUCCAAAUUUCUGAUGACAGUGCAUUUGGGG